This is a long non-coding RNA of Parus major (Great Tit), 3281 nucleotides long. RefSeq lists it as uncharacterized. The record is from RefSeq and is a predicted model, not a curated record. Lineage: Eukaryota; Metazoa; Chordata; Aves; Passeriformes; Paridae. The transcript is spliced from 4 exons.
GCGGCGUGAUGUGCGCAUGCGCAGUCCGCUGAACCAGGGCGUCUGCCAUGCGGGAAUGUUAAGUAAGGAAUCCAGAGACGGUAUUAAUUAAAACACGCAUCUAAGGACUGGAGGGUGUUUACAAGAGCAUGUAUUGACGGGACAAGGGGGAAUGGCUUCAAACUGAGAGAGGGAUAUUUAUGUGUCUGAGCCUGUUGUCUACAUUGGCAAGUAAGAGAAGUUCUGAAGAAAAUGCUGAAGAUCUGACAUCCACAGCAUUGACGUGGGAGUCCAGACCAGCUUUUGUCACUAUGGAUGCAGUGACAGCUAGAGUUUGAAUAUAUUGUGUUCUGGGGAUGUAGCUGUGGGUUUGGUUUCCUUCAAAAGAAAUCCAUUAUGCAUACUCCAAAACCCUGGAUGAAAGACUGCUGGAGCGCCUCUGGAGUGUCUGCAGCUAAGUGAAAAACUACUGGCUUCUGGGUUAUGCCUUUUUUCACAGAAUAACUCAGAUGGUAAUAGGUCAUUCCACUAAAUGCAGAGAAUGUUCUGUUGGGCUACAGCUUUGGGAGAUGACUGUUCACAGAGAGAGAGGAAGCUUCUCCUAUUAUUUUCUCCACAUCCUUUGCCCAAUUCCAGCCGUGUUCUCCAGCUCCUUACCAUGUCAGCCUCCAUCUAGCACCUGAGGGACCCUCAUAGGUAAGCAAAUUUCACCUCCUGAGCUAGCCAUAAAAAAAAACAAACAGUAGGAAAACUGAAUCAUACUCUACCAGAGUAAGAAAGGCUGAGGACCGUAUGACUGGAAUCAGGAUAAGAAAAGACAGGAGAGGAGGAAGCACAAGCCUUCCCCUUUUGGCAUGAGCGAGCUGUUAACAUUGACAGCAGCUUGUGAAAGCGCAGCCUUAGGGCGGGCUGCGUAGUUAUAGGAUUGAGCUCUUGAUCGAAAACUCAAUCCCAGCGGUGCUGCCAGCACGCAGGUUUUACAGCCCCCUUUGACAUGCACACACACUCCCAGCCUGCCCUGCUGUUUAUCAGGCAUCUCAUCUGAGCAAGGAAGUGGUGACAACCAAAAGGCAGGAGCUGCUUAACCUUUCACCGGUAAUUAACCUUGCAAGCACCGCUCGCGUCUCAGAAUGCCUCAGACAGGUGAGGUAAGGCCACACGGGAAGCUCAUUUAAACCAGUGGCUUUUUAAUCACUAUGCAAACAAAACAUUUAAGGAACUCCAGGAGCAGCUGAGACGGCAUAGGGCUUCAUUUUCCCACCCUUCAGCAGAUUCAGAAAGUCCCUCUAUCCUAGGAAGAAGGGAGAAGCUGAUUUUUGCAUUUCCAGUAGAAGGAAUGAGACAGGAAAAUUAGAUCCUUCAGAGGAAGAGAUGUUUGCCAAUGAAGGAUCACUUCAUUGUGAAGUCUGCUUUUCCUUUUCUUCUGCUGUAAUGAAAAUUAAGCAACAACAACCCAAAAAGUGGCUGAGAUAUUCCACAGCAAGUUGGCUGCAGCAGCUGGGGGACGCAGCAUGUAUGCUGGAGGGUGAUGAUGCAUUGAGCUGAAGCAACCCGGGGAAAAGCAGAGUGCAGGACUAAAAGUCGUCUUCCUGCCAGGUGUGAGUCACUGGCAUGAGUACAGGAGUUGUAGGUGAAAGAGGCAGUUCCCCUCUGAAAUUCCUGUGUAGAUGGCACUCGGGACAACAGAGAUUGGAGACUGCCCUGACUGCCUGGAGUUAAAGAGCUUUACGGGGCAAUUAGCUGAAAAUGCAGAGGGACACGUUCGAAGUGGGGGGAGGUAGAAUUUGAAUAGUUGGUUUUGUUUUGGUAUUUUUGUGGGGAGGCAGGGAAAAAAAUUGGGCUGGGAUUUGUCCAGUUUGCUUGCAUGCUGAAUGUGUGGGGUUUGGUUUGUUUGUUUUGUUGUUUGUUUUUUCCCCCAGGGGAAUAGGGGAACAGGAAUAAAAAUGACUGCAGAUAGCUACAUCUAGAGGGAAGGGUGGUACAGUUGGCUUUCAGAGAUUUGGGUCUGGAACAGAGGGUGGAUAUAUGCAUGCACAGGGGUCCAGACCAUUCCAGAAAAAGGGGAGGAGGCUGUUGUAAACAUUUGGGAACUGCUGAGAUAAAGUAAGCUGCUCCAUUCUGUUGUUUUGAAGGGCUCUAACAGUUGACUAUUAAAUCUCAGCUGGAAAUGGCAACUUGCAGCAUGGAGAAGGUAAGGAAAAGCUUCCUGAACCACAUCUGGGGAGUAAUUCCUGAAUGUGGAGCCCUUUUCCAAUUUCUGUAAUGGUGAGUCUAGGCCUCAAAGUGACUGCACUCUGCAAGAGUCAGCAUGUUGGUAUCUGAAGUGUGACACUCAGUGCCACACUGACAAGUCCAUGUUGACCUGCCUGGAGUCACUGCUGCUUUAUUGGCAUUUUCUUGACACCAACUCCUGUGGAGUUGUAGACUGUCAUCCACAGUCCUUUCUGCUGAGUAUUUUAAAUGGUGCUGUUAUGUGUCUUGGUUUCUAAAAAAAAAGCAUAAAUUCUUCUGUUCAGUGUGAAAUGUUUAUGGAUUAGUUUCUCUGUAUUCAAUUAACCAUAUUUGCCUAUUGGAAAUUUUCAGGUUUUUUAAGUUUUUUUUUUGGUGAGGUUUUGGGGGGUUUUUUUGUUUGGUUGGUUUGUUUGUUUUGCCAGGAGUGAACAUAGUAAAUUACACCUCAAAGUGUUGGUCUUUAGGAUCUGGUGCUUAGACAGCUGAGGCCACAAAUGGCUCUUGGGGGACUGAAGAGAAAAAGGAUUAUACUAUGCAUUGCCUCUGAGGAAUAAAAUGAGAAGAAGUGAAUGUUCUGGAGCAUGUAUGUGGUAUGUCCUGUCUUGGUCAGGAGGGUUGAACUAGAUAAUCUAUAGAGGACCCUACCAACUUCAGCUACUUUUGGAUUCUGAACUAGGAAGAAAGUUUUUUGAAGAAGUAGGUGUCUGUAGCCUUUGUGGCUUGGAAUGUAAUUUUUGUUCUACUCCAUCUUUCCAGUCAUGAGUACAUUGAGAACUAACAACUUUCUCCCACCUUCAGAAUUACAUAUCCCUGUUGAUGCCUGGAUACUCAGAUCACAUGAAAAGCCAAAUAAAGACCCUGUGAAUUCACACUGUUUUGAAUAUAGGGCAUAUUGUGGACUUAUAAAACUAUGAGGUACAAAGUUAAUACACAGCAAAAAUGUUUAUGGCACUUGUUUCUAGCUUGAGUGUACCCUGUAAGAUGUGAUGCAUCUGCAUUAUUUGUUUCAGAAAAUCUUGACUGGGAAAGCUUGAAGAUACCCAUAUUAAAAUUUGAUUGUUAUCACCUUG